GCCUUCGUGGUGUAGUGGUCGGCAUGCUCGACUUGUAACCGUGAAGUCCAUGGUUCGAUUCCCGGCGAGGGUU
RNAcentral lists this transfer RNA (73 nucleotides) under Stegodyphus mimosarum. It matches the Rfam family "tRNA". Rfam says of the family: Transfer RNA (tRNA) molecules are approximately 80 nucleotides in length. Lineage: Eukaryota; Metazoa; Arthropoda; Arachnida; Araneae; Eresidae. The record is from Rfam by way of RNAcentral.